GGCGGUUGCGGGUGCACACUUCCAUCCAGCCGGUCGCCACUGGACAUGCUCCUAAAGUCCAUUGUGAUUAGUGGCUGUGGUCAGAAGUUAUCCAGCUUGAGGCAGAUUGAAUUUCUCACAACUCUUCACUCUCCUGUAGAGAUGUUUUUGAUAUUCCUGCUCUACACAACGGAUCCUACCAAGGAAGAAGCACUGAGAAAAAAAUAGAUCACCAACAUGAACCUGCGUGCUUCUGGAAGAACAGGGAUGAUCAGGAAGCUGGGAAGAGAAUCCUUCAGAUGGGGAAACGGAAGCCCAAAGAACUGAAAGAACCUGCCCAAGAUCACACAACCUUAAUCUAGUCUUACUGUAAAACUUAAAACAAGAAAAGUGUGAGGAAGAAAGUACAAGCCCACCUGCAGCCCCACAUCCAGGGAUGAUGAACAUCAGCACGUUGGUGAUGAUCCUCCUUUCAUCUGUCACAGGCAUUGACUCACGUUCGUAUGAUUUUACCUGAAUGGAAUAAUAUCCUGUCAUACAUGAUUUAUUUUUUAAAUAAGGACCUCUUUUUCUUUGUUUUACUAACCUCCUCCUUUCCAUUCCCACGCCCCCAAACACAUUUAACAAACUAGUACAUAUCCUUUUUUUAAGUUUACAUAUAUAAAAUUUUAAAAUAAAUGCUUAUAUAUAUACACACACAUUUACAAAUAAGUGUAUUUAUAUACAGAUACGGGGCUUUUUUGGGAAGCUAUUUUUUGUUUUACAAAAUGGGAUCAUAUUAUGCACACUGCUCUGCAUCUUGCUUUUCUCAUUGAACAAUAUCUUAGAAGUUUCUGACGUCACCUGGAUUGAUUUACCCCACUAUUUGUAAUGGUUGCACACUAUUUCAUUGUGUGGUUAAUUUUAUAACUCCUCUAACAACAAAAUUCUGCCCAGUUAAUAUUUUCUUUCUACAGAUGUUUUAGCCUGGUUUUCCCUCCAAAGCAAAGUCCGAGACAAGGGCUUGCGUGCAUGCAAUUCAUUAGGGAAGGGAGCCCGGGGUCUGGGACGAGAGACUGGGAAAGCGAAACGCACAAGGCAGCACAGCCAGUGCCAAGGGGCUUCCUUGAGCCGGCGCCUGCUGUGGGCCGCCGGGUGCGCCCUCUCUGAGACGCCUUACCCAGCGAGACUUAGAACUCUCGAGCGUCUACGGUCGGGCCCACACGACACGCGGUCAGCAAUUACGCCUCAAGGAAAACGGCCUGUCGUGCUGCGCAUGCGCCGCUGCAGAGCAGCCUGGGUAGACCGGAAGCCAGUGCCGGCAGGCGUGCUUCCGGUUCGCUUGUGCUGGGCUGGUCGCCAAAGCAGUGGCUGCAGUGAAAGUUGGACUGAGAGGAAAGGAAGCUGCUUCCGAUCCGGAAAGUCGCACGCGCUUUCUUCUGGCUUUCCCUAUCCUGGAGAUCCACGGGUUUCAUGCAAGGGACAAACUCUUACCCUUUGGUCUGACAGCAACAAUGAUAAGAACGUACCCCGUUUUCGGCACCAACUUUGUAUGGGGUGGUCUACACCGCACAUGUGCGUCUUCACAACAGUCACCAGAGGCAGGUGUUUUCCGGAGAGGGCAGGGGAGGCCAGAGGAUUAUGAGGGAGAGGCCGUUUGUACCGUGUUCUCCUGGUAUUCCCAGUGGUUCGUGCAAUGCGUGCUGCUUAAAGGAUGGUCAGUCCAGCCUUUAUCACCUGCAAUCUAAAAGAAUUUUGUAAAACUUCUUGCACAUUUUAAAGUGGAAUAUGUAAAAUCGUUUAUCCUAAUUUGAAAACUUAUUUUUUAAUAGGAAGGAAAUAAUAAACAUUUUAUAAAAUGAAAUAAGAUGAAGAUGGUCUACAUUUAGUCCAUUGAGGUUGUGUUUGUGUUGCGAUGUGAUAAAAUGAGUUUUAACUACUUACUGGAUAGCAUUCACU
Long non-coding RNA from Equus asinus (donkey), 1917 nucleotides. The record is from Ensembl. NCBI's taxonomy places the organism in Eukaryota, Metazoa, Chordata, Mammalia, Perissodactyla, Equidae.